UAUUAUUCUCUCGCCGUGUGC
RNAcentral lists this non-coding RNA (21 nucleotides) under Caenorhabditis elegans. Lineage: Eukaryota; Metazoa; Nematoda; Chromadorea; Rhabditida; Rhabditidae. The record is from RNAcentral.